GAGCCUUGGCCGCGGUGCUGGGCGCCCGGCGCCGUCCGCCCCCGGGCUGGACCCUCCUAGGACCCGUCGGGGGACGGUCCGCCCUACCUUGGCUACCUUCUCCAGCCCGGGAGUCGGGAGUUUUCUGGGGUGGGGUCACGGGUCUUGCCCGGAGUUCGCCCUGGCAAAGGCCUGUGCCAGUGAUCCUGGAGCGGAGCGAAGUGUUUCCGUGACUCUGCAGCCGCAGUUCUUAGGCUUCCUUAGCCUUCUCUUCGCCUUCCUCCACCUUUCCCUAACACCUCCCUGAAAACACAAAUACAUGGACUCAUUGCCCGUUCCCUGACUUUCACCCCAAUUUCAGCGUUGCAAACCAAGGACUCCAGCUUUGGAACGUCUUUUUCUGACAUGUUUUUAUCACUCUCCGUUCUUCACCGACUCUGCAGCUCCCCAUCCCCCGCCCCCCCAGCGCAACCCCC
This 455-nucleotide long non-coding RNA is filed under the name Homo sapiens (human). RNAcentral describes it as "LHRI_LNC1423.1". Lineage: Eukaryota; Metazoa; Chordata; Mammalia; Primates; Hominidae. The record is from RNAcentral.